AGAGUUUGAUCCUGGCUCAGAUUGAACGCUGGCGGUAUGCUUAACACAUGCAAGUCGAACGGCAGCGUGCUGGUUCCUUCGGGAACCGGUGGCGGCGAGUGGCGGACGGGUGAGUAACGCGUAGGAAUCUACUCCAAAGUGGGGGAUAACCCGAGGAAACUCGGGCUAAUACCGCAUGUAUUCUACGGAAUAAAGCUGGGGACUACUUCGGUAGCCUGGUGCUUUGGAAUGAGCCUGCGUCAGAUUAGCUUGUUGGUGGGGUAAUGGCCUACCAAGGCAACGAUCUGUAGCUGGUCUGAGAGGACGAUCAGCCACACUGGGACUGAGGCACGGCCCAGACUCCUACGGGAGGCAGCAGUGGGGAAUAUUGGACAAUGGGCGAAAGCCUGAUCCAGCAAUACCGCGUGUGUGAAGAAGGCCUUCGGGUUGUAAAGCACUUUCAGUAGAGACGAAAUGCUCAGGGUUAAUACCCUUGAGAGUUGACUUAACCUACAGAAGAAGCACCGGCUAACUCUGUGCCAGCAGCCGCGGUAAUACAGAGGGUGCGAGCGUUAAUCGGAAUUACUGGGCGUAAAGCGCGCGUAGGUGGAUGUUUAAGUCGGAUGUGAAAGCCCUGGGCUUAACCUGGGAACUGCAUUCGAUACUGGGCAUCUUGAGUAUGGUAGAGGGAAGUGGAAUUUCCGGAGUAGCGGUGAAAUGCGUAGAUAUCGGAAGGAACACCAGUGGCGAAGGCGGCUUCCUGGACCAAUACUGACACUGAGGUGCGAAAGCGUGGGGUAGCAAAACAGGGAUUAGAUACCCCUGGUAGUCCACGCCGUUAAACGAUGAGAACUAGGUGUUAGAAA
Molecule: ribosomal RNA, 845 nt
Filed under: uncultured deep-sea bacterium
Lineage: Bacteria
Description: bacterial SSU rRNA
Rfam family: Bacterial small subunit ribosomal RNA
Source: RNAcentral